AGUGAACGCUGGCGGUAGGCCUAACACAUGCAAGUCGAACGGCAGCACAGUAAGAGCUUGCUCUUACGGGUGGCGAGUGGCGGACGGGUGAGGAAUACAUCGGAAUCUACUUUUUCGUGGGGGAUAACGUAGGGAAACUUACGCUAAUACCGCAUACGACCUACGGGUGAAAGCAGGGGAUCUUCGGACCUUGCGCGAUUGAAUGAGCCGAUGUCGGAUUAGCUAGUUGGCGGGGUAAAGGCCCCCCAAGGCGACGAUCCGUAGCUGGUCUGAGAGGAUGAUCAGCCCCCCCUGAACUAGGCCCCGUUCCCAACCCCUACGGGAGGCAGCAGUGGGGAAUUUUCGACAAUGGGCGCAAGCCUGAACCAGCCCUACCGCGUGGGUGAAGAAGGCCUUCGGGUUGUAAAGCCCUUUUGUUGGGAAAGAAAAGCAGCAGGUUAAUACCCCGCUGUUCUGACGGUACCCAAAGAAUAAGCACCGGCUAACUUCGU
This 491-nucleotide ribosomal RNA is filed under the name uncultured bacterium. Its description in RNAcentral is "partial 16S ribosomal RNA". It matches the Rfam family "Bacterial small subunit ribosomal RNA", at positions 29 to 506 of the family's 1533-position model. The record is from RNAcentral.